RNAcentral lists this ribosomal RNA (492 nucleotides) under uncultured bacterium. RNAcentral's name for it is "partial 16S ribosomal RNA". It matches the Rfam family "Bacterial small subunit ribosomal RNA", at positions 29 to 507 of the family's 1533-position model. The record is from RNAcentral.
AGUGAACGCUGGCGGUAGGCCUAACACAUGCAAGUCGAACGGCAGCACAGUAAGAGCUUGCUCUUACGGGUGGCGAGUGGCGGACGGGUGAGGAAUGCAUCGGAAUCUACUUUUUCGUGGGGGAUAACGUAGGGAAACUUACGCUAAUACCGCAUACGACCUACGGGUGAAAGCAGGGGAUCUUCGGACCUUGCGCGAUUGAAUGAGCCGAUGUCGGAUUAGCUAGUUGGCGGGGUAAAGGCCCACCAAGGCGACGAUCCGUAGCUGGUCUGAGAGGAUGAUCAGCCACACUGGAACUGAGACACGGUCCAGACUCCUACGGGAGGCAGCAGUGGGGAAUAUUGGACAAUGGGCGCAAGCCUGAUCCAGCCAUACCGCGUGGGUGAAGAAGGCCUUCGGGUUGUAAAGCCCUUUUGUUGGGAAAGAAGAGCAGCAGGUUAAUACCCCGCUGUUCUGACGGUACCCAAAGAAUAAGCACCGGCUAACUUCGUG